CCGUUUUCUGAGGUUUCACGCCGCUAAAGACAAAUACCAACGGAUCCGUCGAUAAUGAAAGUGAGGCCGUCCGGCGCCGGCUUAACUGGCCGAGUUCAUGGCGUUCCCUUGGACCGCGCCGCCAAAAAGUCCCUUCUUCUACGCUCUCAAGAUGGAUGUCGUGUCCUUGUCGCUCCGACGCGGCACGAACCGACAUUCAUGAGCAUUUCAUGGAGGAAGAAGAGUCGUAUCUGCUCUGAAAGGCAGCAGAAUGGAGGUUUGACCCUGAGUGACUAACAGGGAAACACGCAGCGCACACACACACACACACACACACACACCGCUCUGUCAAACCCGUCCUUCACCACGAAGACACCCCGACAGCUGUCCCCAUUCUCAUAAGACGCACUGUCCUCAUUGUGCGAGAUGAUGCCCGGCGACGCUUCCACGGACGGCUGACAUCGCCGCAGCUUUCCGCCCUGCGACCGCGGCGCUCUGAACCCGCUGUUAUUAUUUUUCCCCCCAAAAGGCUCCUCCGGAUCGUCCGCACGCGGCCGUGCGCCAUGGCCUCGCCGCCGAGCCGUCCGAUGGUUCGCUGCCUCUCGCUGCUCGUC
Molecule: long non-coding RNA, 593 nt
Organism: Gasterosteus aculeatus aculeatus (three-spined stickleback)
Lineage: Eukaryota; Metazoa; Chordata; Actinopteri; Perciformes; Gasterosteidae
Source: Ensembl